UGAGAAAUUCCAUGUGUUUCUAAAUAUCGCCUAAGUUCACAACUGGAACUCUCCCCCAUUGUCACUACGUAGAAUUCUUACUCGGGCAUUAUAUUGAGUGCAAAUCAUUUUAUGAAAUUUUUGAAACAACAAAUUCAUUUUACUUUUGAACUUCAUCAGACACACCCAAGUCAUUCUAGUACAAUCGUCAUAAAAGUAACAAACCAACGUGAUCCACCUAACGUAUUCACCUUGGAUGGACCCCAAACUUCUGAAUGUAUGAUCAUAAAAGGAAUUGAACUUUUAUUCAUUUUUGGUGAAAAAGACACACGGUGACUCUUUGAAUGUUCACUGACAUCACAAUGGAAAUCAGAAACAUCAAAUUUUGUAAUAACUUAGGAAACAAUUUAAUAAGAUAUCCAAUAUAAGCAUGUCCCAAUCGUCGAUGCCAUAGCAAAUAUCAUAUUUUCUUGUUUUGUCCUUACAACUAAACACAUCAACCGAUAAUGUUUGGCGCAACUGAUUAGAACUUUUUGACUCCAAAUCAAAGUAAUACAACUUCUCUCGUCUAGUACCAUAACUAAUCGUCUUCCUCAUCUGGAUGUCCUUAAACACACAAUAGUCAGGCCAAAACAUCACAACACAAGAUAGAGUAGUGUGUAAUUUGAGAAUUAGAAAAAAGGUUACAAUCCAACGAUGGAACUACUAAGACACUGUAUAAAUUCAAAUUAAUGAGAGACAAAAAUCCUUCCCCAAUGAUAGGUGUCGAAGAACCAUUAGUGGUGGAAAGAUACUUUUGUGACGAUGGUUUAAGGGAUAAAACUUGUCUACAAUCAAAUUUCAUAUGAUCCGUAGCUCCGGAAUCAGUUAUCCAUGUACUAUUAGAAACAAGUGCAGAUGAAUUGAAAGCCUUACCAUUGUUACCUCUCGUUGCUACGAAGGUUGUUGAUUGUCCAGCAACACCUUCCUUGGCAUUUGUUUCUACAAUGCAACAGUGGAACUCUUGUUUGCGUUAUCUUUCUGGAAUCACAGUUAUGAUCCCAACAUUUUGGAUAUCCCAUAAUUUCAAAACAACGAUCUUUUGUGUGCCCUGACUGAUCAUUAUGAGUACACUUAUAAGUGGACUUGUUGAUACCCUUAAACCUCAUUCGAUCUUGUUGACUUUGAGAGAAUCGAUUUCCAUUAGAUCUAUAUUUGCUGACCAUGGCUGCUGCUUCAGAUUUUUCAAGAUCUCCAUUCACUAUUGCAUGCCAAACCGAUUCACGACAAACCAUUGAGUAACAUUCUUUGAAUCUGGAACAGAAUCCUUCCUCAAGAUUUCCCCACAAAUCUUUUCAAAUUCACUAUCCAAACCAACAAAAUAAAGAUGUGCACCCUUUGUCGUUGAAUAGACUUGCGGUAAGAACUGACAUCCUUCUCAUUUUCCAUGAUCACCUUAUCACGGUGAUCCAACUCACAAAAAAUUUCAAUCAAUUCUCCAUAGUAGGAAGAGAGUGAUCUGCCAUUUUGUUUGGGGGAGAAGGCUUUUUGAUUCAAACUGAAGACUUAUAGUUCAUCUGCUCCAUAGUAGAAGGUUGUUGACAGAGCUUUCCAGAUUUCUCGAGUAGUAGAGCUUCUUAUAGUUUGCUGCUUCAUGGACUUCCAAGACAUAAGAGAAUCCCUUAACUUGAUCAUAUGUCAAGUCACAAAUCUUCUAGUGUUAGGGCAAGCUGCCCAAUGUCAGUCACAAAAAGUCUCUAGCUUUAGAAUGAAUUUACUACUUAAUAUCAAACCUUAAUCAUGACAACUUUUGAUGUAUUUGAAUAACCUCAAAGUUGCUUACGAGUUUGAUAUCUUAGGUUGCUACAUUAACUGUUUAAGUACAACAACAAAGGUUAUAUCAAUCCUAGUGAUAGUAUCGGAAUACAACCUACUCAGCAGCCCAUUCAACAAAGAAAAAAGGAAAUUAUGGAAGAUAUUGUGAAGAAGACAAUGACUGCUACAUUGAAAGAGAAGAAAGAACCAUAUGGAGUUUCAGAGAAGUCAAUAUUGUCUCAAUACAAAUGUCUGAGACACGUUCAGAAGCAAGGGCCAUUGAUCAGAUUUGUACUUAGAAUGGUCUCCAUCAUACACAAGACUCUAUUGCCAGCUGUAGCAAGGCAUAUGAUCAGUACAAAUUGCAAUACUUACUUAGACAUUAAUAAUUAGAGAAGUGUAAAUACUAGAAUUUUAUCUUUCUUUAUUUUUGCAUAGAUAGAGUUGUAAUAUAUAGAUUCAUUUUGAGCACAUAUCAAUAUAGAAAAUCUUCUCUAUAAUCUUCCAUCUUUCAAGUUUCAUCAAUUUCUAUCCGAUAGUAAUAUAGAUCAACCAUCCAAUCAGGCUUUGAUAGCUCUUUAUAUACUUGAACAUAAGAUCAUCAAUAAAUCUUUUGAGCUCAUCAUAUUGCACUGAGGUUAUACAAUUCAAAGUUCGCAAUUUUCAUAUGUGGGUGAUUUCAAAGACACUAUUCGAAGAACACUAAUUGAAGACAUUAUUCAAUAGUUUGAACAAUACAACUUUAUUUUCAAAAGCUCUGACAGGCUAUUUUUGAUACAUUACUUCCAUUUGUUUGUCAAGAUUUAAAGGGAUAAAUUCUAUUUUAAGGAUUAACAGUAAUGUCUUCACCAUUCGUGAAAAUUGUACUAUGAGGCUCUCUUUUGCGAGCAUGUUUGUUGGAUUUUUGGCGGCCAAACAAUUGCCGUUAAUUGUUAUGAUAUUUAUUGGCAAUUCAAUGGAAAUUUAGCCAUAAAAUGGACGCUAAAGGGGCAAA
This is a long non-coding RNA of Solanum pennellii, 2767 nucleotides long. RefSeq lists it as uncharacterized. NCBI's taxonomy places the organism in Eukaryota, Viridiplantae, Streptophyta, Magnoliopsida, Solanales, Solanaceae. The record is from RefSeq and is a predicted model, not a curated record. The transcript has 3 exons.